Unclassified non-coding RNA from Castor canadensis (American beaver), 302 nucleotides. Its record names the gene 7SK. It matches the Rfam family "7SK RNA". From Rfam's summary of the family: 7SK was discovered as an abundant small nuclear RNA in the mid-70s but a possible function has only recently been suggested. Two independent studies have found that 7SK RNA binds the CDK9/cyclin T complex (known as elongation factor P-TEFb). P-TEFb activates transcription by phosphorylating the C-terminal domain of RNA polymerase II. Lineage: Eukaryota; Metazoa; Chordata; Mammalia; Rodentia; Castoridae. The record is from Ensembl.
GGAUGUGAGGGUGACUUAGCUGUGAUAUCUGUGCCCCACUGGUCACUAGGAUUGAUGUGGCUAAUCUGGAUGGCUAGGCAGGUGUCCCCUUCCUCCCUUAUUCGCCACAUGUUCGUGUACCUCACAAAGCCACACACUCAGCUGAAGGGGAGACCUUGGGGAGGACCAUUCUUUGGGCAAUGGUAUAUGAGUAGCUGGUCUGUCCUGUAAGAACUCCCAAACAAAAAGCAGGUUGAUUGGUAUCUGGCUGCCUGGGGUUGCUUUCCUUGUAAGAAUGAAAGUGGAGGGGGUGUCCCUGUCAU